This 845-nucleotide ribosomal RNA is filed under the name uncultured bacterium. RNAcentral's name for it is "bacterial SSU rRNA". It matches the Rfam family "Bacterial small subunit ribosomal RNA", at positions 28 to 853 of the family's 1533-position model. The record is from RNAcentral.
GACGAACGCUGGCGGCGUGCCUAACACAUGCAAGUCGAACGGAGAAUCAGUAAUGGUUCUUAGUGGCGAACGGGUGAGUAACGCGUAGACAACCUACCUUCCAGAUGGGGACAACAUCGCGAAAGCGGUGCUAAUACCGAAUGUGUUAUUUCUCUUACCUAAGAGAAAUAAGAAAGGCGGCCUCUAUUUAUAAGCUGUCGCUGGAAGAUGGGUCUGCGUCUGAUUAGCUAGUUGGUGGGGUAACGGCUCACCAAGGCGACGAUCAGUAGCCGGUCUGAGAGGAUGAACGGCCACACUGGGGCUGAGACACGGCCCAGACUCCUACGGGAGGCAGCAGUGGGGAAUCUUCCGCAAUGGACGAAAGUCUGACGGAGCAACGCCGCGUGAGUGAAGAAGGUUUUCGGAUCGUAAAGCUCUGUCUUUUGGGACGAACGUGCGCUAUGUAAAUAAUGUAGUGUAAUGACGGUACUGAAGAAGGAAGCCACGGCUAACUACGUGCCAGCAGCCGCGGUAAUACGUAGGUGGCAAGCGUUGUCCGGAAUUAUUGGGCGUAAAGCGCGCGCAGGCGGAAUAAUAAGUCUGUCGUGAAAGUGCGGGGCUCAACCCCGUGAUUGCAAUGGAAACUGUUAUUCUUGAGUGCAGGAGAGGAAAGUGGAAUUCCCAGUGUAGCGGUGAAAUGCGUAGAUAUUGGGAGGAACACCAGUGGCGAAGGCGACUUUCUGGACUGUGUCUGACGCUGAGGCGCGAAAGCCAGGGUAGUGAACGGGAUUAGAUACCCCGGUAAUCCUGGCCGUAAACGAUGGGUACUAGGUGUAGGGGGUAUCGACCCCUCCUGUGCCGGAGUU